CAUUAAGAAGCUAUGAACCAGCAUUAGCCUUUUAAGCUAAAGAAAGAGGGACCUCCCCUCCUUAAUGA
This 68-nucleotide transfer RNA is filed under the name Zonotrichia leucophrys (white-crowned sparrow). RNAcentral's name for it is "tRNA-Lys". RNAcentral also lists the same sequence under 1 other name. The record is from RNAcentral. Lineage: Eukaryota; Metazoa; Chordata; Aves; Passeriformes; Passerellidae.